GGAGGAUGAAGGUCUUAGGAUUGUAAACUCCUUUUAUCAGGGAAGAGAAAGGACGGUACCUGAUGAAUAAGGAUCGGCUAACUACGUGCCAGCAGCCGCGGUAAUACGUAGGAUCCGAGCGUUGUCCGAAUUUACUGGGCGUAAAGAGCGCGUAGGCGGUUUGUUAAGUCUCAUGUGUAAUCUCCCGGCUCAACUGGGAGGGGUCAUGGGAUACUGGCAGACUUGAGGAUAGCAGAGGAAAGCGGAAUUCCCGGAGUAGUGGUGAAAUGCGUAGAUACCGGGAGGAACACCAGAGGCGAAGGCGGCUUUCUGGGCUAUUUCUGACGCUGAGGCGCGAAAGCGUGGGGAGCGAACCGGAUUAGAUACCCGGGUAGUCCACGCCCUAAACGAUGGAUACUAGAUGUUGGGGGUAUAGACCCCCCCAGUGUCGAAGCUAACGCGAUAAGUAUCCCGCCUGGGGAGUACGGCCGCAAGGCUAAAACUCAAAGGAAUUGACGGGGACCCGCACAAGCAGCGGAGCGUGUGGUUUAAUUCGAUGCAAAGCGAAGAACCUUACCCAGGCUUGACAUGUUUCUGAAAGCCCCCGAAACGGGGCCCUCCUUCGGGACAGAUUCACAGAUGUUGCAUGGCUGUCGUCAGCUCGUGUCGUGAGAUGUUGGGUUAAGUCCCGCAACGAGCGCAACCCCUGUCGUUAGUUAUUAUGUCUAGCGAGACUGCCCCCACUGGGGGAGGAAGGUGGGGACGAGGUCAAGUCGUCAUGGCUCUUACGCCUGGGGCUACACACACGCUACAAUGGUCGGAAACAAUGGGCUGCCACACCGCGAGGUGGAGCGAAUCCUCAAAGCCGAUCUCAGUUGGAAUUGCAGGCUGCAACUCGCCUGCAUGAACGUGGAGUUGCUAGUAACCGUAGGUCAGCACACUACGGUGAAUACGUUCUCGGGUCUUGUACACACCGCCCGUCAAGUCAUGGAAGUCGGUAACACUUGAAGUCGUUGGGCCAACCCUUUGGGAGGCAGACGCCGAGAGUGGGACUGGUGACUGGGACUAAGUCGUAACAAGGUAGCUGUAGCGGAAGCUGCGGCUG
Molecule: ribosomal RNA, 1084 nt
Filed under: marine metagenome
Description: bacterial SSU rRNA
Rfam family: Bacterial small subunit ribosomal RNA
Source: RNAcentral